This 995-nucleotide ribosomal RNA is filed under the name Pseudoroussoella chromolaenae. Its description in RNAcentral is "SSU rRNA". It matches the Rfam family "Eukaryotic small subunit ribosomal RNA", at positions 446 to 1087 of the family's 1831-position model. Lineage: Eukaryota; Fungi; Ascomycota; Dothideomycetes; Pleosporales; Thyridariaceae. The record is from RNAcentral.
AAUCCCCGACACGGGGAGGUAGUGACAAUAAAUACUGAUACAGGGCUCUUUUGGGUCUUGUAAUCGGAAUGAGUACAAUUUAAAUACCUUAACGAGGAACAAUUGGAGGGCAAGUCUGGUGGACAUUCAGCUCCCAUUCUGCUGACGCCAGAGAUAGCCGGGCGCCCCCCCUCCCAGCGAGGGGGGUCGUUACGCCGGCUAGUCGAUGUAUCCGCUACCGUGAUGGGGGGAUACCGGCAAGACAACCUGGAUCGGGGAAGGCUAAGGUGCAUUCGUGCGCUAUGCUAAUCCCGAGCAGAGCUUUCGUGGAGCGAUCCACGAUCAUAGCCUGUGUAGAGCGCGCAAAGGUGUCGGUCGACUCACGCAGUCGGCUUAAGGGACGUGCCAUUCCCACCCGAAAGGGUGGCUGACAGCAGGAGCGCCCAUCACGCAAAUGCAUGUCAGGCUCCCCCCCCACCCGGGGGAGCAGAUCUGUAAGGCCAGCAGCCGCGGUAAUUCCAGCUCCAAUAGCGUAUAUUAAAGUUGUUGCAGUUAAAAAGCUCGUAGUUGAACCUUGGGCCUGGCUGGCCGGUCCGCCUCACCGCGUGUACUGGUCCGGCCGGGCCUUUCCUUCUGGAGAACCGCAUGCCCUUCACUGGGUGUGUCGGGGAACCAGGACUUUUACUUUGAGAAAAUUAGAGUGUUCAAAGCAGGCCUUUGCUCGAAUACGUUAGCAUGGAAUAAUAGAAUAGGACGUGCGGUCCUAUUUUGUUGGUUUCUAGAACCGCCGUAAUGAUUAAUAGGGAUAGUCGGGGGCGUCAGUAUUCAAUUGUCAGAGGUGAAAUUCUUGGAUCUAUUGAAGACUAACUACUGCGAAAGCAUUCGCCAAGGAUGUUUUCAUUAAUCAGUGAACGAAAGUUAGGGGAUCGAAGACGAUCAGAUACCGUCGUAGUCUUAACCGUAAACUAUGCCGACUAGGGAUCGGGCGAUGUUUUUUUAUUGACUCGCUCGGCACC